AUGAACGCUGGCGGCGUGCCUAAUACAUGCAAGUCGAGCGAACGGACGAGAAGCUUGCUUCUCUGAUGUUAGCGGCGGACGGGUGAGUAACACGUGGAUAACCUACCUAUAAGACUGGGAUAACUUCGGGAAACCGGAGCUAAAACCGGAAAAUAUUUUGAACGGAAUGGUUAAAAAGGGAAAGAGGGCUUUGUGGUAACUUAUAGAUGGAUCCGCGCUGCAUUAGCUAGUUGGUAAGGUAACGGCUUACCAAGGCAACGAUGCAUAGCCGACCUGAGAGGGUGAUCGGCCACACUGGAACUGAGACACGGUCCAGACUCCUACGGGAGGCAGCAGUAGGGAAUCUUCCGCAAUGGGCGAAAGCCUGACGGAGCAACGCCGCGUGAGUGAUGAAGGUCUUCGGAUCGUAAAACUCUGUUAUUAGGGAAGAACAUAUGUGUAAGUAACUGUGCACAUCUUGACGGUACCUAAUCAGAAAGCCACGCCUAACUACGUG
Molecule: ribosomal RNA, 496 nt
Filed under: uncultured bacterium
Lineage: Bacteria
Description: partial 16S ribosomal RNA
Rfam family: Bacterial small subunit ribosomal RNA
Source: RNAcentral